UAGGGAAUCUUCCACAAUGGGUGCAAACCUGAUGGAGCAAUGCCGCGUGAAUGAAGAAGGUCUUCGGAUCGUAAAGUUCUGUUAUUAGAGAAGAACAAAUCGAGGAGUAACUGUCUCGAUUUUGACGGUACCUAACCAGAAAGUCACGGCUAACUACGUGCCAGCAGCCGCGGUAAUACGUAGGUGACAAGCGUUGUCCGGAAUUAUUGGGCGUAAAGGGAGCGCAGGCGGUUGAAAUAGUCUGAUGUGAAAGCCCACGGCUUAACCGUGGAAUGUCAUUGGAAACUGUUCAACUUGAAUGCAGAAGAGGUAAGUGGAAUUCCAUGUGUAGCGGUGAAAUGCGUAGAUAUAUGGAGGAACACCAGUGGCGAAGGCGACUUACUGGUCUGUGAUUGACGCUGAGGCUCGAAAGCGUGGGUAGCAAACAGG
RNAcentral lists this ribosomal RNA (429 nucleotides) under uncultured bacterium. RNAcentral's name for it is "bacterial SSU rRNA". It matches the Rfam family "Bacterial small subunit ribosomal RNA", at positions 355 to 776 of the family's 1533-position model. The record is from RNAcentral.